UACGAAGGGUGCAAGCGUUACUCGGAAUUACUGGGCGUAAAGCGUGCGUAGGUGGUUCGUUAAGUCUGUCGUGAAAGCCCCGGGCUCAACCUGGGAAUGGCGAUGGAUACUGUCGGGCUCGAGUGCGGGAGAGGCGAGUGGAAUUCCUGGUGUAGCGGUGAAAUGCGCAGAUAUCAGGAGGAACACCGAUUGCGAAGGCAGCUCGCUGGAACGUUACUGACGCUGAGACGCGAAAGCGUGGGGAGCAAACAGG
RNAcentral lists this ribosomal RNA (253 nucleotides) under uncultured bacterium. RNAcentral describes it as "partial 16S ribosomal RNA". It matches the Rfam family "Bacterial small subunit ribosomal RNA", at positions 524 to 776 of the family's 1533-position model. The record is from RNAcentral.